Non-coding RNA from Hymenolepis diminuta, 114 nucleotides. The record is from Rfam. Lineage: Eukaryota; Metazoa; Platyhelminthes; Cestoda; Cyclophyllidea; Hymenolepididae.
UUCUCCUACAAAUUCAUAUUAUUUCUUUCAAAUACAGGAAUGAUGGUAGGCGCUUUGUGUGCCAUUACAGGAGUCCUGACAAUUGCUCUCCCAGUGCCCGUCAUUGUGUCAAAC